AAAUAAAUACUUGCGAAGUCUAAGUCAGGGAAAACUCUGGUGGAGGAGCGUAGCGAUUCUGACGUACGAAUCGAUUUUCAAAAUGGAAACUAUUUACGAAAGACCAAUCGAAAAAACUAGUAG
RNAcentral lists this non-coding RNA (123 nucleotides) under Rodentolepis nana. The record is from Rfam by way of RNAcentral. Lineage: Eukaryota; Metazoa; Platyhelminthes; Cestoda; Cyclophyllidea; Hymenolepididae.